RNAcentral lists this ribosomal RNA (255 nucleotides) under uncultured bacterium. RNAcentral describes it as "partial 16S ribosomal RNA". It matches the Rfam family "Bacterial small subunit ribosomal RNA", at positions 524 to 776 of the family's 1533-position model. The record is from RNAcentral.
UACGUAGGGUGCAAGCGUUAAUCGGAAUUACUGGGCGUAAAGCGUGCGCAGGCGGUUUUGUAAGUCUGUCGUGAAAUCCCCCGGGCUCAACCUGGGAAUUGCGAUGGAGACUGCAAGGCUAGAAUCUGGCAGAGGGGGGUAGAAUUCCACGUGUGAGCAGUGAAAUGCGUAGAGAUGUGGAGGAAUACCGAUGGCGAAGGCAGCCUCCUGGGCCAACACUGACGCUCAUGCACGAAAGCGUGGGGAGCAAACAGG